RNAcentral lists this long non-coding RNA (475 nucleotides) under Priapulus caudatus. RNAcentral's name for it is "uncharacterized LOC106819187". Lineage: Eukaryota; Metazoa; Priapulida; Priapulimorpha; Priapulimorphida; Priapulidae. The record is from RNAcentral.
AAAACGAGGCAGAUAUAAAGGCAUGUCAAUUUCUUGCCACUCUACUUGGAGGAGGAGAAGGUGGCAAAUCUGCACGGGAAAAGAAUGCGGUGGACCAGGAAGCAGCAAUAAUGCUAAAGACUUUACAGUCACAAGCUGAGGGUCAGUUGAAGGUCAUUACUGACUAUGAGGCAAGAGAGGGCACUGCCUGUCACUUUCGUAAUGUGCUGAAGGCAAUGGAAGCUGAUAGUCAGGAGGACGUUGUGAUGAAAGACCCUAACACCAUAUAACAUGGAGUUAAUUUAGAGUCAUAUCCGAUGGGUGAUUCCCAUAUGCUUGGAAACUAUUAUAGAUGUAAUAAUGAACGUAAUGAAAUAAUAGACGUAAUGAUUGAGUGGGAUGAUUUGGUGAUCAAAAAUUAAUGUAAAAGCUUUUUACAAGUACUAGUCCAUGCCCGUUAGGUGGUCAAAGCUGAUCACACAAGAUAAAAAAAAAA